Molecule: ribosomal RNA, 391 nt
Filed under: Thalassiosira minuscula
Lineage: Eukaryota; Bacillariophyta; Thalassiosirophyceae; Thalassiosirales; Thalassiosiraceae
Description: partial Bacterial small subunit ribosomal RNA
Rfam family: Bacterial small subunit ribosomal RNA
Source: RNAcentral
GUGGUUUAAUUCGAAGCAACGCGCAGAACCUUACCUACGCUUGACAUGCCCGGACGAUUUCCAGAGAUGGAUCUCUCCCUUCGGGGCCGGUGCACAGGUGCUGCAUGGCUGUCGUCAGCUCGUGUCGUGAGAUGUUCGGUUAAGUCCGGCAACGAGCGCAACCCACAUCUUUAGUUGCCAGCAGUUCGGCUGGGCACUCUAAAGAAACUGCCCGUGAUAAGCGGGAGGAAGGUGUGGAUGACGUCAAGUCCUCAUGGCCCUUACGGGUUGGGCUACACACGUGCUACAAUGGCAAGUACAGUGGGUUAAUCCCCAAAACUUGUCUCAGUUCGGAUUGGGGUCUGCAACUCGACCUCAUGAAGUCGGAGUCGCUAGUAAUCGCAGAUCAGCA